AGAGUUAAAUAGUACGUGAAAUUGUUGAAAGGGAAACGAUUGAAGUCAGUCAUGCUGGCGGGAAUCAACUUAGGGGAAACUCUAAGUGCACUUCACGUUUGGCAGGUCAGCGUCGAUUUUGGACGUCAUAAAAUGAUUGGGGGAAGGUAGCUCUUUCGAGAGUGUUAUAGCCCUUAGUAGAUGUGAUGUCUGGGAUUGAGGAUUGCAACGGAUACCCUUUGGGCUAGCCGCCUGAUCUCUAACUGAUGUUGAGUUACGGACAGCAUGCUGACCGUGAUUUAAUUAUUGGUUAAAAGGUUAGAUCGAGUGUAAAUUCGUUAAGGACGCUGACGUAAUGGCUUUAAACGACC
Molecule: ribosomal RNA, 350 nt
Filed under: Dentiscutata erythropus
Lineage: Eukaryota; Fungi; Glomeromycota; Glomeromycetes; Diversisporales; Gigasporaceae
Description: partial large subunit ribosomal RNA
Source: RNAcentral